This 378-nucleotide ribosomal RNA is filed under the name uncultured Planctomycetota bacterium. Its description in RNAcentral is "bacterial SSU rRNA". It matches the Rfam family "Bacterial small subunit ribosomal RNA", at positions 521 to 896 of the family's 1533-position model. Lineage: Bacteria; Pseudomonadati; Planctomycetota. The record is from RNAcentral.
UAAUACGAAGGGCCCGAGCGUUAUUCGGAAUCACUGGGCUUAAAGCGUACGUAGGCUGGUAUAUAGGCGUCUUGUGAAAUCCCUCGGCUCAACCGAGGAACUGCAAGGCGAACCAUAUAUCUUGAGACAGACAGAGGUCGUCGGAACGAUUGGUGGAGUGGUGAAAUGCGUUGAUAUCAAUCGGAACGCCGAAGGAGAAGUCAGGCGACUGGGUCUGUUCUGACGCUGAGGUACGAAAGCGUGGGUAGCGAACGGGAUUAGAUACCCCGGUAGUCCACGCCGUAAACGAUGUGCACUAGGUCGAGGGCGUUCUGACGCGACUCUCGGCCGAAGCGAAAGUGUUAAGUGCACCGCCUGGGGAGUACGGUCGCAAGGCUA